Molecule: long non-coding RNA, 1119 nt
Filed under: Chinchilla lanigera (long-tailed chinchilla)
Lineage: Eukaryota; Metazoa; Chordata; Mammalia; Rodentia; Chinchillidae
Description: lncRNA (ENSCLAG00000029265.1)
Source: RNAcentral
GAAUGAUGUGUGAUUUUUAUUUUCUCCUUUAUUCUAUUUACCUUUUUUUCAUUUUCACACAAUCAGCAUGCUUUACUUUAAUAAACAGAAAGCAGUAAAAAUGACACAAUGCGCCUGAAGGAUGUGGUGCUGGAAGGCUUUUCUGUGAGUGAUUGCACAAGAAACGACCAUGUACUUGUUGCAAAGCCCGGAAGGAAAGCCAACAUCUCAGCCAGGUGGAGGGACCAACAUGCAGCAUGGGAAGCCGAGCAAGAAGAUUCAGACUGAAUCAAAGCAGAGACAAUUUCCCCAGGUGCCCAGGAAGCAGGGGUCUCAGCCACAAGGUUGGAAAAUAACCCCACCUAAGGUCAGAACCCUCGCUCGGAUCUUGAGGACUACUGCACACGGGAAGGUAAGAGAAUUCAUUCAGUGUUCUCGACAGCAAAGGUCGGAUCAUUUAUUCUCUUCAGUUCACUUGUCCUUUCUAUUAAAACUUUAAGUUAGCAAAUAUUCCAGGUCCUUGGUCUGAAGGGGUGCUUGCUGCCCGAUUUAUCUUCAGUUACACAAAGUCAAAUGAAGCAAGAACAAAUUGAAUCUAGAAAUCAUUGUGAUGUAGAGAAGCUGGGCCCCUUUGCUUUGAUCGCCUUGACUGUUGAGGACACAGAAGGCAAAGCAACCCUCCCCGUGCCUGGGCCCCAAGGAGCACAGACAGGAUCUGGAGUAGCAGCUGCCCUGUGGAGCCCGCCACGCUGAGCAAAGCUGGGAGUGGGGCUCUGCCACCGAAGAAGGAUGCAGAAGAAAGCUCUAGAGAGGUUUGAAUAUCACACCUUGCCAGAAGUUUCCAGCUGCCUUUCUUCUUCAGUGCCUAUGGCAGUGGUGAGGCAGGGCUGGGCAGCUCUUCCGCUGUGUGGGGAAAGAUAGCACACAAGCAUAUCUGGAACUAUGUCACCCACCGGUCGCCACCAGCCACCCCCAUGUCGCUAUUGAGCUCCUGAGAUGUGGUCCCUCUGUGAGUGUAAAGCACAUGCCGGCUUCCAAAGAUUUGGUACAGAAAAAGAACAAGAAGCAUCUGGAUCACCUUUCGUACAGAUUACAUAUGGAAUGCAGACAAUGCAUAUUUCAUAGUUAAACUAAAUAAAA